Molecule: long non-coding RNA, 748 nt
Organism: Xyrauchen texanus (razorback sucker)
Lineage: Eukaryota; Metazoa; Chordata; Actinopteri; Cypriniformes; Catostomidae
Exons: 3
Source: RefSeq, a predicted model, not a curated record
CUAGUAAAAGCUACUGCUCAUGGCGUUCUCUUUCUUCCACAUCAUCUCCACACUGAUGUUUUUUCUGCUUUUCUCGUUUUCUGUUGAUUGUACACAAGAUCAAAGAGAUUUAACUAGUCAGCAGGUGGAGUUUUGGUAUUAUAUCAACAUCUGCCGCUGGACUGCCGGACUGGUUGUUAUAUUGACUUUUUAACAUUAGAAGUGCUGAUGAUCAUCCCCUUAGCAACAUCCCAGCACAGCUCUCCUCUUCUUCACACAGUCUCUAACAUGGAGCACCUGUUAUGUUGCUGUUUCACUGCGAUCAACUAUCAGCUUCAAGAUAUGGGUUGAAGACAUUGAAUCAAACCAUCACUGCAGUCAACUGGAGGUCAAGAGAAGUCUGUAGAGCUAUUGUAUACUCUCUAUUCACAGCUGAGAAUUUUCAUCUGCAAGUACAUUUUGUUAGGUAUUGAUUUAAAAACAAAAAAAUUCUCAAAGCAUUGUGAUCUGUAACUGAAUGUGAAAGCUGGUCUUAUAUCACACAUGAUGUACUGUAAAACUACUUCUUUGAAUGUUUGCUCUGUAAUUUUAUACAUUUACUGCUCGACAGUGAUCAUUUUUUUCUCAGUUUUUCUACUCCACCUUGAUUAAUCUGCCUGUACCCUCUCUUCUUUUUCUUAUAUCUAAAUUAUAUUUUUGGCAGAGAACACAUUGACUGAAGAGGGCAUUUCAAUUGGGUUUAAAAAAUUUUUUUUUAGGCCUAUCUAUU